RNAcentral lists this long non-coding RNA (241 nucleotides) under Elaeis guineensis (African oil palm). Its description in RNAcentral is "long non-coding RNA (EGUI_LNC078000)". The record is from RNAcentral. Lineage: Eukaryota; Viridiplantae; Streptophyta; Magnoliopsida; Arecales; Arecaceae.
GGGUAUUAGUGACAGUUAGUCUACUAUAGGAGUAGGGUAUGCAUCAAGAUGGGAUCAUCGACCUUGGUAGAAAUGAGUAGUCCUAUGGAAUUUGAAAAGCUAAGUCUGAGAGUUUAUGGCCACAAUAGUGUGAUUGAUGGAAAAAAAAUUUCAUAAAAAUUACAAUUGGACUUAAGCUAAUCGAAUCUAUCAUAUGAUUGAUGUUGAGGUUUGAUGAUUUAUCCAUGACCUGUCAUCUAGU